AUUGAACGCUGGCGGCAGGCCUAACACAUGCGAGUCGAGCGGAUGAAGGGAGCUUGCUCCUGGAUUCAGCGGCGGACGGGUGAGUAAUGCCUAGGAAUCUGCCUGGUAGUGGGGGAUAACGUCCGGAAACGGGCGCUAAUACCGCAUACGUCCUGAGGGAGAAAGUGGGGGAUCUUCGGACCUCACGCUAUCAGAUGAGCCUAGGUCGGAUUAGCUAGUUGGUGGGGUAAAGGCCUACCAAGGCGACGAUCCGUAACUGGUCUGAGAGGAUGAUCAGUCACACUGGAACUGAGACACGGUCCAGACUCCUACGGGAGGCAGCAGUGGGGAAUAUUGGACAUUGGGCGAAAGCCUGAUCCAGCCAUGCCGCGUGUGUGAAGAAGGUCUUCGGAUUGUAAAGCACUUUAAGUUGGGAGGAAGGGCAGUAAGUUAAUACCUUGCUGUUUUGACGUUACCAACAGAAUAAGCACCGGCUAACUUCGUG
Molecule: ribosomal RNA, 484 nt
Filed under: uncultured bacterium
Lineage: Bacteria
Description: partial 16S ribosomal RNA
Rfam family: Bacterial small subunit ribosomal RNA
Source: RNAcentral